Molecule: transfer RNA, 75 nt
Filed under: Alphaproteobacteria bacterium
Lineage: Bacteria; Pseudomonadati; Pseudomonadota; Alphaproteobacteria
Description: tRNA-Asn
Rfam family: tRNA
About the family: Transfer RNA (tRNA) molecules are approximately 80 nucleotides in length. Their secondary structure includes four short double-helical elements and three loops (D, anti-codon, and T loops).
Source: RNAcentral
UCCCCGGUAGCUCAGUGGUAGAGCGAGUGACUGUUAAUCACUUGGUCGCUGGUUCGAGUCCGGCCCGGGGAGCCA